This 406-nucleotide ribosomal RNA is filed under the name uncultured bacterium. RNAcentral describes it as "partial 16S ribosomal RNA". It matches the Rfam family "Bacterial small subunit ribosomal RNA", at positions 30 to 526 of the family's 1533-position model. The record is from RNAcentral.
AUUGAACGCUGGCGGCAGGCCUAACACAUGCAAGUCGAACGAGUGGCGGACGGGUGAGUAAUGUCUGGGAAACUGCCCGAUGGCGGGGGAUCACUACUGGAAACGGUAGCUAAUACCGCAUACCAUCGGAUGUGCCCAGGUGGGAUUAGCUAGUAGGUGGGGUAACGGCUCCCCUAGGCGACGAUCCCUAGCUGGUCUGAGAGGAUGACCGACGACCAUGGAACUGAGACACGGUCCAGAAUCCUACGGGAGGCAGCAGUGGGGAAUAUGGCACAUCGGGGGAAACCCUGUGGCAGCAACGCCGCGGGCGUGAUGACGUCCUUCGGGUUGUAAACCGCUUUCAGCCAUGACGCGGUAGUGGCAGAAGAAGCACCGGCUAACUACGUGCCAGCAGCCGCGGUAAUUC